UCAUCCCCUCGAGUGAGUGCAAGUCUCCGGGACUGAGUGGCCAAUAUAGUGGGAGUGAGUCCGCGAGCUUGCCAGGGCGGCUAGUGUAGGUAACGUGAGAACGGGUAGAACGGGGCUGGUGGCAGGUCGUAUUUUGAGUGUAAACAGCGUAGUAAACGUCUUUGAAAUCCUGGAAGCAGGAGGUGCUGAAGCGAAGAGCCAAGACACCUGUUUACUGAUUACCAUUUGCGAAUGGCAGCACUACGUGAUUUAUAUUUAAUCUCUAUUUACUGUCCCCCGGGCAUGUUUAAAGAGGCUUAAAUCGUCGCAAACAUGUAGAACUUUGAGCUCACUGAUGUGUUUACUUAACAUCCAGAAUAUUUAUUGUGGAAAAAUCCAGGCCUUGUCGGCAAGUGCCCUAGUGACUUGGCACCUUAAUUUACUAAGAAGUAUGCCAACCUAAACCACCUGCUGGGCCGGUUCUCUUGACUAUACAGCUACCCCAAACCUGUGUUCCAGAUCUUGGUGACAGGACACAAUCGAACCAUCUGCGUCCAUCGCAAGGCAAAGGUCAAGUUGAGAGGAGUGACUUUUGUAAGGCGAGUCUGAAUAUAAGAUAUAUAACCAGUUCUUUCAUCAUCCGAAAUUCUGUCUUUGGAUCAAACUGGACCAGAUGAGAAGGUGUCACAAAGUACCCUGGAGAGGAUGGAAGAUACUGGAUGUGCCAUCUACAGAGGCAAGGAAAUGAGGUUAUGGAACAAAGAGUGUGUAGGAGGGUCCAGGGUGGAGGAACUGAGUCGCCUGCCUAUGUAGGGAGCCCAAACAAACCUGAGUGUGUCCGAGCAGUUGGACCAGCCGGCCACGGGCCCUGUUCGAAUGCGGGCUUAGUAGAGGGGACCAGGACCAGUUGGCACUGAUGACUGAUCCCCAUUUUAAUCACUGAAGCCAAUACAAGGAAUACCUUUUAAUGAUCCAAACUGAAAUAUUUUACCUGGAAAAAAGGCCUGGACAAGUGUACCAACUCAACCCAGGGACAUGUUUGGGGAAUUCUCAAGUCAAAGAAGCCACACAGGGAAAUGCACAUCCCUGGGGGAAAGUGCCACAGGAGCACCAGGCAGCACAGAGGAGAGAACGGCUAAUUCUGCCUGUCAUGGUAAUGGAGGCCACCUUACACAGGAAAUGACAUUGAGGCUGGGUCUUGAAGUUUCAGCCUGAUGAUAAGGGCGCUCCAGGCAUGGAGAGCCACCUGGGCAAAGCUGUGAACGUUCAUAGAGGUGGCUGGACUUGAAGGGAGGGCGAAGGUGAAAAACUGAAGGUCAGACUAGGAUUAGGCCAGACCGAUAAUUCCCAGAUUGAGAAAAAUCUAGUAUUGUUGUAAGGCAUCGCUUUACUUAAAAUAUUUACGUAAAUUUCCCCCAGGACUCAGGUGGGGUGUGGCCCUCAGGUGACUAUCCGAGCCAAUGAAUAGACAGACAUAAUCCCCCAAACCACAUUUUAGAUAUUGACAGGUAAUAGGUAAGAAGUUCUAUUUUUUAUUUUUGAAAAUAAUCCUGGAAUUCUUAUUAAUUGCCACUUUUUAUAUAACACAGGACAUACAAGUACUUUUAAAAAUUGAACAUGUUUCAAAUCUGUUACAGGACUAGUCAUUUUAUAGGAACAAUGUAUGCCAUCAAAAUCAUAUUUAUUAAUGUGUUAAUAACUAUCUGUUGCUCUGUUAAGACUUUUAUCAUUGGGCUCGUUAAGUAUUAGGUUGUUGGAAAAGUCAUAACGUAUUUUUUCUAUGUUUUCAUUGCAAAAAUGCGUCAUGACUUUUCCGGCAACCCAAUAUAUGUGAAGAGCAAGAUAAUUGUGUUGACAAUGAAAUAUAUGAAUGAAUAAAGAAAACAUUGUUAAUGUUGUAUGGAUGACUAUUACAUUCUGA
Molecule: long non-coding RNA, 1900 nt
Organism: Hipposideros armiger (great roundleaf bat)
Lineage: Eukaryota; Metazoa; Chordata; Mammalia; Chiroptera; Hipposideridae
Exons: 4
Source: RefSeq, a predicted model, not a curated record